UACGGGGGGAGCAAGCGUUGUUCGGAUUUACUGGGCGUAAAGGGCGCGUAGGCGGUCGUGACAAGUCACUUGUGAAAUCUCCGGGCUUAACUCGGAAACGGUCAAGUGAUACUGUCGGACUAGAGUACAGAAGGGGCAACUGGAAUUCUCGGUGUAGCGGUGAAAUGCGUAGAUAUCGAGAGGAACACCUGCGGCGAAGGCGGGUUGCUGGGCUGAUACUGACGCUGAGGCGCGAAAGCCAGGGGAGCGAACGGG
RNAcentral lists this ribosomal RNA (255 nucleotides) under uncultured bacterium. RNAcentral describes it as "partial 16S ribosomal RNA". It matches the Rfam family "Bacterial small subunit ribosomal RNA", at positions 524 to 776 of the family's 1533-position model. The record is from RNAcentral.